This 73-nucleotide transfer RNA is filed under the name Enterovibrio coralii. It matches the Rfam family "tRNA". Rfam says of the family: Transfer RNA (tRNA) molecules are approximately 80 nucleotides in length. Their secondary structure includes four short double-helical elements and three loops (D, anti-codon, and T loops). Lineage: Bacteria; Pseudomonadati; Pseudomonadota; Gammaproteobacteria; Vibrionales; Vibrionaceae. The record is from Rfam by way of RNAcentral.
GCGACCGUAGCUCAGCUGGAUAGAGUACCUGGCUACGAACCAGGCGGUCGGAGGUUCGAAUCCUCCGGUCGCG